Molecule: ribosomal RNA, 271 nt
Filed under: uncultured bacterium
Lineage: Bacteria
Description: partial 16S ribosomal RNA
Rfam family: Bacterial small subunit ribosomal RNA
Source: RNAcentral
UACAGAGGGGGCAAGCGUUAUUCGGAAUUAUUGGGCGUAAAGGGCGCGUAGGCGGUUUUUUAAGUCAGAUGUGUAAUCCCCGAGCUCAACUUGGGAACUGCCCUUGAAACUGGAAGGCUAGAAUCCUGGAGAGGCGAGUGGAAUUCCGAGUGUAGAGGUGAAAUUCGUAGAUAUCCGGAAGAACACCAGUGGCGAAGGCGACUCGCUGGACAGGUAUUGACGCUGAGGUGCGAAAGCGUGGGGAGCAAACAGGAUUAGAUACCCGAGUAGU